RNAcentral lists this ribosomal RNA (253 nucleotides) under uncultured bacterium. RNAcentral describes it as "partial 16S ribosomal RNA". It matches the Rfam family "Bacterial small subunit ribosomal RNA", at positions 524 to 776 of the family's 1533-position model. The record is from RNAcentral.
UACGUAGGGUGCGAGCGUUAAUCGGAAUUACUGGGCGUAAAGCGUGCGCAGGCGGUUUUUUAAGUCAGAUGUGAAAUCCCCGGGCUUAACCUGGGAACUGCGUUUGAGACUGCAAGGCUAGAGUGUAGCAGAGGGGGGUGGAAUUCCACGUGUAGCAGUGAAAUGCGUAGAGAUGUGGAGGAACAUCGAUGGCGAAGGCAGCCUCCUGGGAUAACACUGACGCUCAGGCACGAAAGCGUGGGGAGCAAACAGG